Molecule: long non-coding RNA, 1422 nt
Filed under: Nicotiana tabacum (common tobacco)
Lineage: Eukaryota; Viridiplantae; Streptophyta; Magnoliopsida; Solanales; Solanaceae
Description: long non-coding RNA (NTAB_LNC015172)
Source: RNAcentral
AAUGUCAAAAGACCAAAAAGCAAAAAACAUUUCCCUUUCUUGGUUUAAAAAUCUGAUUUUUGGUUAAGUUUCAAAGACUCUUGUCUUAGAGAAAAACGUGAAAGCAGAAUCAAAAUUCUUCCCAAGAUUUCAAAUCCAAAACAAGUUCGUUCCAAUUUUGAGGCUAUCCAAGUAUAAGUUUCAUCCAUAUUUCGCAGAAGCAGAAUCGUUCAAAUUAUUCGAAAAACAGGUAUGUUAAGGCUAUCCCUUCUUUUUUUUGGCAUAAUCCUUACGAUACGAACGAAACGUGUAAAUGCACAAAUUCCAUAAAUGAGUCUAUUCAUAGAAGUAUUAGAGAUAUCUAUGCUCCUAAAUUUCCAUGUGUCGUAAUAUUUUAUCAUCUAAUCAUGGGUCUCAGAAAAAUAUGAAAGUUGAGAAAAAAAGGUUUACUUUAUGAUAUUGCUCAAGACAAAAUGGUCUUAUGAAAUUCCGAAAGAUUUUAUUAACGUACUUUUCUUGCAUUGCAUUCAUGUGCAUCAACCCAUGACCAUAUGGCAUUAUAUAUGCGUAUAUAUGUAAAUAUAUGUAUAUGUGAUAUGGGAAAAGGUUACGGUGUUAUAUACACACCACCACCUGAUCAGCUGGUAUAUGAUGAUGAUGUUGCCCACAGUGGCUGAAAUAUGAUUCAAAUGGUGUUAUAUAUGCAUAUAUAUAUGUAUGUAUAUAUGGGAUAUGGGAAAGGUUAUGGCGUUAUAUACGCACCACCACUUGAUCAACUGGUAUGCGAUGAUGAUUUUGCCAACAGUGGCCGAUGUGAUAUGAUGGGAUGCCCUCAGAGGCUGAUGAUGUUAUAAAAUACGUACCUAUGCACGACAUGGCAUUCACAUACAUAUGCAUGAUGCUAAAAGUAAUUUAUGAUUUACAAAGUUAUUCAGACCUACAGGUUGAGUCAUGUACUCUAUAUUUUUUCCAUGUCUCUUAUGCAUUUAUUUAUAUGCCUUACAUACUCGGUACAUUAUUCGUACUGACGUCCCUUUUGCUUGGGGACACUGCGUUGCAUGCCCGAAGGUCCCGAUAGACAGGUCGAGAGCCCUCCAAGAGGCUAUCAGCUCAGCGGAAGAUGUUGGUGCGCUCCAUUUGCUUCAGAGUUGCUCGUUUGGUUAGUAUGAUUUAGACGUGUAUUGUUUGGUAAGGCAGGACUCUGUCUCGAUCUUUAUGACAUUUAUGUACUCUUAGAGGCUUGUAGACAUAUGUCGUGUAUAUAAAAGAUUGUGCGGCCUGGUCGGCCUAUGUUUUGGGUUUAUAAAGGAUCAUCUUGGCCUAUUAGGCUCGUAUAUCAUGUGUAUAUAAUGAUGUAAUAAGAAAUAUACAUUACGUUAGUAAUCGGCUGAGUAAGGUAUCUGGUGCCUGUCGUAGCCCAUCGGUUUGGGUCGUGACAAAAGU